AUGAACGCUGGCGGCGUGCCUAAUACAUGCAAGUCGAGCGAACAGACGAGGAGCUUGCUCCUUCGACGUUAGCGGCGGACGGGUGAGUAACACGUAGGUAACCUACCUAUAAGACUGGGAUAACUUCGGGAAACCGGAGCUAAUACCGGAUAAUAUUUCGAACCGCAUGGUUCGAUAGUGAAAGAUGGCUUUGCUAUCACUUAUAGAUGGACCUGCGCCGUAUUAGCUAGUUGGUAAGGUAACGGCUUACCAAGGCAACGAUACGUAGCCGACCUGAGAGGGUGAUCGGCCACACUGGAACUGAGACACGGUCCAGACUCCUACGGGAAGCAGCAGUAGGGAAUCUUCCGCAAUGGGCGAAAGCCUGACGGAGCAACGCCGCGUGAGUGAUGAAGGUCUUCGGAUCGUAAAACUCUGUUAUUAGGGAAGAACAAACGUGUAAGUAACUGUGCACGUCUUGACGGUACCUAAUCAGAAAGCCACGGCUAACUACGUG
This 496-nucleotide ribosomal RNA is filed under the name uncultured bacterium. RNAcentral describes it as "partial 16S ribosomal RNA". It matches the Rfam family "Bacterial small subunit ribosomal RNA", at positions 29 to 507 of the family's 1533-position model. The record is from RNAcentral.